ACGGGAGGCAGCAGUAGGGAAUAUUGCACAAUGGGGGCAACCCUGAUGCAGCAACGCCACGUGUGGGAAGAAGCAUUUCGGUGUGUAAACCACUGUCGUGAGGGAAUAAAGCUGGAGCUGUCCAGUUGAAUGUACCUCGAAAGGAAGCACCGGCAAACUUCGUGCCAGCAGCCGCGGUAAUACGAGGGGUGCAAGCGUUGUUCGGAAUCACUGGGCGUAAAGGGAGCGCAGGCGGAAGUGCAAGCGGUCUGUACAAUACCUGGGCCCAACCCCGGACCUGCAGACCGGACUGCAUUUCUUGGAUAGUUCAGGGGCAAGCGGAAUUCCUGGUGUAGCGGUGGAAUGCGUAGAGAUCAGGAAGAACACCGAUGGCGAAGGCAGCUUGCUGGGGACUUAUCGACGCUGAUGCUCGAAAGAGCGGGGAGCAAACAGGAUUAGAUACCCUGGUA
RNAcentral lists this ribosomal RNA (449 nucleotides) under uncultured Fibrobacter sp. RNAcentral's name for it is "bacterial SSU rRNA". It matches the Rfam family "Bacterial small subunit ribosomal RNA", at positions 341 to 792 of the family's 1533-position model. The record is from RNAcentral. Lineage: Bacteria; Pseudomonadati; Fibrobacterota; Fibrobacteria; Fibrobacterales; Fibrobacteraceae.